CCGUCGGAAGCCCGACUGGCGCAAUGGUAGCGCGCCAGACUUCUAAUCUGGAGGCUGGGGGUUCGACCCCCCCGUUGGGCUU
This 82-nucleotide transfer RNA is filed under the name Penicillium salamii. RNAcentral's name for it is "tRNA-Arg". The stretch from base 10 to 81 matches the Rfam family "tRNA". From Rfam's summary of the family: Transfer RNA (tRNA) molecules are approximately 80 nucleotides in length. The record is from RNAcentral. Lineage: Eukaryota; Fungi; Ascomycota; Eurotiomycetes; Eurotiales; Aspergillaceae.